GUCAAUAUUUUGGCAAAAUUUCGAAAUUGUUGAGUGAUUUACAACUUUUUACCAUCAUAUACACAGUUUAUUAAUGUUAUUAUGCUGAUGAAACUAUUCAGCCUCAUAAUUAUAGCGUUUUUAAUUAAUAUUCAUUUAGGGUAUGGUUUCUUUGCAUGGAGUUCAUCGAAAUGUGAGGCAAACCAAGCAGGCACGACUGGAAAAUAUGUGAAAAAAGACUUAAACGAUGUUGAAGUUAUCAACGUUGACGAAAUAAAGGAAGAGUGUGGAAAUCAUAUGAACGAAACAGAAAACACUGCUUAUUGUUCUGGAUUCAAACACGUUUAUAAUCCUUUCAAAGAUAUCGUACACAGAAAGCACGUUUUAUCUGCUUGUACACGAUGUGCACAAUGUUUAGCAAUUUCUGCAGAGGUACGCAAAAUAUUUGAUAAUAUAAUUGGCAAUAAAGAACAUUUAGAGCCAAACGAAGCAAAAUGUAAAGUGAAUCAUGCAUUAGCAGAAGAAUUCUGCAAACGGACAUUUACAAGUCACGAUUUAAGAAUAUGUAAUGGACUGACUAUGUUUGCUAAAAUGGAAGAAGGUGGAACACAUAUUCGCACACAUUUUGACGGGCAAUGGCCGCCAAUGUUAAAGAAGAAGUGCUUAUUAUUCAUUCGCCAAAUGGAUGUUGAUUCAAAAUAUAACUUUUUUCAUCAGUACAGGUUGGGAAUUAAGGAUACUGAUGAUUUUCUUUGUCGAGGUGAUGGUGUGUUUAGAGAAUGUAAAAACCUUGUAAACGAGACAAGUGUUAUAAAUUCAAAGUCAGAAGAGCCAGUUUCUUUUUGGUCGUCUUGCUUUUUCUAACCUAUAAAAUGAAAACGCCAUUUUAUAAGAUUUACUAUUAAUAAUAUUUUAAUAUAAUAACUUAUACAUUUGUUAUUAGA
This is a long non-coding RNA of Dalotia coriaria, 923 nucleotides long. RefSeq lists it as uncharacterized. The record is from RefSeq and is a predicted model, not a curated record. The transcript has 4 exons. Lineage: Eukaryota; Metazoa; Arthropoda; Insecta; Coleoptera; Staphylinidae.